GGUCUGGUGGUCUAGUGGUAUGAUUCUCGCUUAGGGUACACCCUCAAGUUCAGCUUGCGAGAGGUCCCGGGUUCAAUCCCCGGCCAGACCC
Molecule: transfer RNA, 91 nt
Filed under: Microdochium bolleyi
Lineage: Eukaryota; Fungi; Ascomycota; Sordariomycetes; Xylariales; Microdochiaceae
Description: tRNA-Pro
Rfam family: tRNA
About the family: Transfer RNA (tRNA) molecules are approximately 80 nucleotides in length. Their secondary structure includes four short double-helical elements and three loops (D, anti-codon, and T loops). Further hydrogen bonds mediate the characteristic L-shaped molecular structure. tRNAs have two regions of fundamental functional importance: the anti-codon, which is responsible for specific mRNA codon recognition, and the 3' end, to which the tRNAs corresponding amino acid is attached (by aminoacyl-tRNA synthetases). tRNAs cope with the degeneracy of the genetic code in two manners: having more than one tRNA (with a specific anti-codon) for a particular amino acid; and 'wobble' base-pairing, i.e. permitting non-standard base-pairing at the 3rd anti-codon position.
Source: RNAcentral